RNAcentral lists this ribosomal RNA (455 nucleotides) under Klebsiella pneumoniae. Its description in RNAcentral is "bacterial LSU rRNA". It matches the Rfam family "Bacterial large subunit ribosomal RNA", at positions 780 to 1233 of the family's 2925-position model. Lineage: Bacteria; Pseudomonadati; Pseudomonadota; Gammaproteobacteria; Enterobacterales; Enterobacteriaceae. The record is from RNAcentral.
CGACUAAUGUUGAAAAAUUAGCGGAUGACUUGUGGCUGGGGGUGAAAGGCCAAUCAAACCGGGAGAUAGCUGGUUCUCCCCGAAAGCUAUUUAGGUAGCUGCCUCGUGAAUUCAUCUUCGGGGUAGAGCACUGUUUCGGCUAGGGGGUCAUCCCGACUUACCAACCCGAUGCAAACUACGAAUACCGAAGAAUGUUAUCACGGGAGACACACGGCGGGUGCUAACGUCCGUCGUGAAGAGGGAAACAACCCAGACCGCCAGCUAAGGUCCCAAAGUCAUGGUUAAGUGGGAAACGAUGUGGGAAGGCACAGACAGCCAGGAUGUUGGCUUAGAAGCAGCCAUCAUUUAAAGAAAGCGUAAUAGCUCACUGGUCGAGUCGGCCUGCGCGGAAGAUGUAACGGGGCUAAACCAUGCACCGAAGCUGCGGCAGCGACACUAUGUGUUGUUGGGUAGGG